RNAcentral lists this ribosomal RNA (495 nucleotides) under uncultured bacterium. Its description in RNAcentral is "partial 16S ribosomal RNA". It matches the Rfam family "Bacterial small subunit ribosomal RNA", at positions 28 to 507 of the family's 1533-position model. The record is from RNAcentral.
GACGAACGCUGGCGGCGUGCCUAAUACAUGCAAGUAGAACGCUGAAGGAGGAGCUUGCUUCUCUGGAUGAGUUGCGAACGGGUGAGUAACGCGUAGGUAACCUGCCUGGUAGCGGGGGAUAACUAUUGGAAACGAUAGCUAAUACCGCAUAAUAGCAGUUAUUGCAUGAUAACUGUUUGAAAGGUGCAAUUGCACCACUACCAGAUGGACCUGCGUUGUAUUAGCUAGUUGGUGGGGUAACGGCUCACCAAGGCGACGAUACAUAGCCGACCUGAGAGGGUGAUCGGCCACACUGGGACUGAGACACGGCCCAGACUCCUACGGGAGGCAGCAGUAGGGAAUCUUCGGCAAUGGACGGAAGUCUGACCGAGCAACGCCGCGUGAGUGAAGAAGGUUUUCGGAUCGUAAAGCCCUGUUGUAAGAGAAGAACGAGUGUGAGAGUGGAAAGUUCACACUGUGACGGUAUCUUACCAGAAAGGGACGGCUAACUACGUG